UUCUUACGUAAGCAUCAAUAAUCAAUACCGCGUGCUACUAUGCAAUCACGCGUAUUACUGUACUUUUACCACUGAGUAGUUCAACAGUUAACGGAAAAACUUUCGCCGUUAUUUUUAUAAAAAGAUAUUUCUGUCGUUUUCUAACUACGAAAAUACUUCCAUUGUGGGGUCCACCAAUGAUUGUACCGUCGUAUGAAUAUUCCCUGUUAAAAUGAAUAUUCUCCGACCCAUCGAAUAUUCCUUGACACAACGAAUAUUUUAUAUCAACUUGCUUACUUUGCAAAAUUUUCAAAUAUCACCCUUAACUUUAACCUUU
RNAcentral lists this long non-coding RNA (316 nucleotides) under Panax ginseng (ginseng). Its description in RNAcentral is "long non-coding RNA (PGIN_LNC018220)". The record is from RNAcentral. Lineage: Eukaryota; Viridiplantae; Streptophyta; Magnoliopsida; Apiales; Araliaceae.